Non-coding RNA from Ictidomys tridecemlineatus (thirteen-lined ground squirrel), 661 nucleotides. Lineage: Eukaryota; Metazoa; Chordata; Mammalia; Rodentia; Sciuridae. The record is from RefSeq and is a predicted model, not a curated record.
CACAGACUGGCCAAGAUGCUUGGCUCAUAAAUAGCUGGUGUGUUCUCCGGAGCCAUCACCAUUGUCACGGCCUGGACAAUCACAGCACACAGCAUUUCAGGAGAGGAGGAUGACUGCCGGAAGGAAGAAGCUCCUGCUCACCCAGCAAAGGCCACCAGGGCCACAAUGGAGUAGGGGGCCCAGGAGACUAUGAAGAGAAGGAUGACCAGCAGCGCGAUCUUGGCCACCUUCCACUCACUCUGCAUCCUCUGCCACUGCCGCCGCCGUCGUGGGGACUCGCCACAGCCCUCACAGGCCCUGGGAAGGGAAACCAGGCCCGAGCCUUCUCUGCCCUGUCUACCAUCCACAUCGGACUGAGGCUGGCAGAGGACUCCGGACUAGAACCUGAUCUUCCCUUCUCACUCACUCAUGGAAUUGAGGGCAGCUGCUCACUCUUUACCCAGGAGGAAUGGAAUCGCCUCUUCUGGGUCACCCUGCCCAGUGGGCAACCCCAUGCCAAACCCCUCCCCCUCCCUCCAGCCAAAGGGAGCCCCCAGGUGUCUACCUGCCUCCCCAAAGAGCCACCGCUUAUAGAGACUGCUGGCGAAGAAGAUGGGGGCCUGGGUGAAGGACAUGAGGAAGUCACUGACAGCAAGGUUGAUAAUAAACAUGUUGGCAGGUG